RNAcentral lists this long non-coding RNA (215 nucleotides) under Elaeis guineensis (African oil palm). RNAcentral describes it as "long non-coding RNA (EGUI_LNC038040)". Lineage: Eukaryota; Viridiplantae; Streptophyta; Magnoliopsida; Arecales; Arecaceae. The record is from RNAcentral.
UCAAACCUUCAUAACUGCAAAAAUAAAAGUCCAAAAACCAUGAAACUUUCACCAAUAGAUUACAUAUCAUUUGUUCUACACGAUGAUGCUAUCAAAUCAGAGUUUUGAUGAAAUUACGAUUUUGCCCCUGUAGAGCAUAAGGUCUUUUUCACAUAAAAAUUAUUUGUAUCCCUUCCAACUGUUUUGUAGUCAUCAAAAUCAAUCUAGGAGCAACA